UCUCAGGUGGCCUAGUGUUAAAGAAUCUGCCUGCAAUGCAGGAGACCCGGGUUCAGUCCCUGGGUUGGGAA
RNAcentral lists this transfer RNA (71 nucleotides) under Ovis aries (sheep). It matches the Rfam family "tRNA". From Rfam's summary of the family: Transfer RNA (tRNA) molecules are approximately 80 nucleotides in length. Their secondary structure includes four short double-helical elements and three loops (D, anti-codon, and T loops). Lineage: Eukaryota; Metazoa; Chordata; Mammalia; Artiodactyla; Bovidae. The record is from Rfam by way of RNAcentral.